Centrocercus urophasianus (Greater sage-grouse) is the source of this 1615-nucleotide long non-coding RNA. RefSeq lists it as uncharacterized. NCBI's taxonomy places the organism in Eukaryota, Metazoa, Chordata, Aves, Galliformes, Phasianidae. The record is from RefSeq and is a predicted model, not a curated record. The transcript has 11 exons.
CUUUCCCUUGCAGCCCUUCCCAACAUCCAGCAAGGGGAGCUGAGAGCCCGGCCCUAUCCCCAUCACUGCAACCAAGCUGUCCCUGGCGCUCCUGUCUUCCCUCGUUGAAUGGUUCCAGCUCCAGCUUGGCAAGGAGAGACUGGCAGACAGAUCAGGGAACUGGUGAGCAGGAGGACUGAUGUGAGGAUCACACAAAGCUCAGGGGCAGAGGAUGGAGCCCGCUCCCCCCGCCGACAGGACUGCUUUCCAUCACAGCUGUAACUCUGCACACUCACGGAGAGCGAAGGUGGGAAGGAGUGACCAGAGGUGAUGGCUGCAAAGGUGAAAGAGAAAGCUGAAACAAGGAACAACAGCAAAGGGGAAAGCUGCCCUUUAACUCAGGCCGUAUCACAGUGAAUUCCUGCCUCCAUCGGUGUCAGCAGAGGGAUUGUGUGAUCAUAUAAAUUACAGAACACCAGCAAGAGGCAGAACGCAGCAACGUGCAGAGAAGCUGGCCCUGAUCCUGGUGCAGAAGAGCAAUCCUGCUGCUGUCAGAGGAGCUGCACUGACAUAAAUCUGCUGUAAGCAGGAGCAUCACAGAGCCCUGCAUUGGACGUUUUCCACCUUCCAGAGUGAACGGGUGGACUCCUCUGAAGCAGACAAGCCUCAGUGUGCACAGCUGUCCUUCUGAGAUGGAUGUUGCUAUCUGCAGCAGGCAGCUUUGCUGGUUUUUCUUCCCCCUCACCGUUUCUGCCAAGAGAACUGGAGGGCUGCGGUCGGUGGCACCACUGAGGGACACAUGAGCUGACAGUCAGUCUGCUACAGCAAAUAUUGCAGUCGUUUCCAACAAAGGCAAAACAAAUCUCACGUAUUCAGUGGCACCGCAGGUCAGGCACGAAGCUGUGCCAGCUCCCACAGUUCGGGUAGGAAGAGAAACCCAAGCAGUGCAGAGAGAUGAAAAUGAUGGCUGACCAACCAGCCAGGAGCUUCUAAUCACAUUACUGCAUUCUGCACACAGUGUGCCAUCGCUGUGAGCUGCAGUCUGGAGCUCCAAAAACGUGCAAGAGCAGAACUCCUAUAAAACACUGACAGCAUUGGGAUCACCAGCACAAGGGAGCAUUCUGUUUGGAUUCUUUGCCCUGGAGGCAAUUGAUGACCUUUCUUCAGCUCCGUGUCAAUCUGGCCAUGCAGGGAGACUUCCCCACACUGACACCAGGUAGGAUUCUUCCUGCACAGUUGCUCCCAUGUAGCAUCCAAAGGUAGGGAACUCCGUCUUGUGAAUGUGCUGAAUUUCCACCAACCACAUCACUUCAUUUUGGGCUGUGUUGUCCCCCUGGGGCUGUCCUCGAUGGACCUAAAAGCGCACCCAACACAGCUCCGAACACAAAACACAGAACUGAAGUUGGAAGGGACCUUUAAAGGCCAUGUGCUCCCACUCCACCAAACAGGGACACCCAUCAAUGCUCAGAGCACCGACCCCGGUGUGCCUGCAGGGAUGGGGAGGCACUCCAAUCCUUGCACCAAUGCAAAAAGCACAAAAAGCUUUUUCCUUACGCUCAAUCUCCCCCCCCCCCCCCCACCUCGAGAAACCAUUUCCAUUCCCUUCAUCCCAUCGCAGCAGGAUGAAUUAGAAAAA